Molecule: small nucleolar RNA, 63 nt
Filed under: Atractosteus spatula (alligator gar)
Lineage: Eukaryota; Metazoa; Chordata; Actinopteri; Semionotiformes; Lepisosteidae
Also listed under: 1 other name
Source: RNAcentral
CAUUAAUGAUGGUUCCAAAUGUCUGACCUGAAAAAUACAUGUAGAAAUCUCUUAACUGAAGAA